This 498-nucleotide ribosomal RNA is filed under the name uncultured bacterium. Its description in RNAcentral is "partial 16S ribosomal RNA". It matches the Rfam family "Bacterial small subunit ribosomal RNA", at positions 30 to 523 of the family's 1533-position model. The record is from RNAcentral.
AUUGAACGCUGGCGGCAUGCUUUACACAUGCAAGUCGAACGGUAACAGGCCGCAAGGUGCUGACGAGUGGCGAACGGGUGAGUAAUGCAUCGGAACGUGCCCAGUCGUGGGGGAUAACGCAGCGAAAGCUGUGCUAAUACCGCAUACGAUCUAUGGAUGAAAGCGGGGGACCGUAAGGCCUCGCGCGAUAGGAGCGGCCGAUGUCAGAUUAGGUAGUUGGUGGGGUAAAGGCUCACCAAGCCAACGAUCUGUAGCUGGUCUGAGAGGACGACCAGCCACACUGGGCCUGAGACACGGCCCAGACUCCUACGGGAGGCUGCAGUGGGGAAUUUUGGACAAUGGGCGCAAGCCUGAUCCAGCAAUGCCGCGUGCAGGAAGAAGGCCUUCGGGUUGUAAACUGCUUUUGUACGGAACGAAAAGGUUUGGGUUAAUACCCUGGGCCGACGACGGUACCGUAAGAAUAAGCACCGGCUAACUACGUGCCAGCAGCCGCCGUAA